UAUAUAUAUAUAUAUAUAUAUAUAUAUAUACCCCCUUUUUUUUUUUUUUAUAUAUCAGUCAUACACACAUCAAGAAAACCAACCAAAAUUCAAUCUUGAACACUUCAACGAUCACCCAAAACAAUAAAACAGAUCAAUACCCAACAAAACAAAUCAAAUUCAGAAUCUAACUGAAAAACACAUAACAAAACAUACCCAAAUCAAGAAAAACGAACUCAAAAAUAAAAACAAUAUAUAUAGUGGAGACCCAUUUGAUUAACUGUUUAUAGUUGAAAAUUGAUAGCGGUGAUCGAAAAUUAAGUGGUAUGGAUCAUCGAUUCGUGUUGAAAAUGGAGAAGAGAGAAGCCUAUGAAUUGAAAAAAAAAAAAGUUUCAGUUUGGAAAGUAGAAGAAGAAGGGAGUGACAAAGACCAACG
Molecule: long non-coding RNA, 415 nt
Filed under: Capsicum annuum
Lineage: Eukaryota; Viridiplantae; Streptophyta; Magnoliopsida; Solanales; Solanaceae
Description: long non-coding RNA (CANN_LNC016545)
Source: RNAcentral